CCUACGGGACGCAGCAGUGGGGAAUAUUGCACAAUGGGGGAAACCCUGAUGCAGCGACGCCGCGUGAGUGAAGAAGUAUUUCGGUACGUAAAGCUCUAUCAGCAGGGAAGAAAAUGACGGUACCUGACUAAGAAGCCCGCGCGAACUACGUGCCAGCAGCCGCGGGAAAACGAAGGGAGCAAGCGUUAUCCGGAUUUACUGGGUGUAAAGGGAGCGUAGACGGCAGCACAGGUCUGGAGUGAAAUGCCAUGGCUUAACCAUGGAAGUGCUGGGGAAACUGUGCAGCUGGAGUGCAGGAGAGGUAAGCGGAAUUACUAGUGUAGCGGUGAAAUGCGUAGAUAUUAGGAGGAACACCAGUGGCGAAGGCGGCUUACUGGACUGUAACUGACGUUGAGGCUCGAAAGCGUGGGGAGCAAACAGGAUUAGAUACCCCAGUAGUC
RNAcentral lists this ribosomal RNA (440 nucleotides) under uncultured bacterium. RNAcentral's name for it is "partial 16S ribosomal RNA". It matches the Rfam family "Bacterial small subunit ribosomal RNA", at positions 338 to 795 of the family's 1533-position model. The record is from RNAcentral.